Molecule: ribosomal RNA, 221 nt
Filed under: uncultured bacterium
Lineage: Bacteria
Description: partial 16S ribosomal RNA
Rfam family: Bacterial small subunit ribosomal RNA
Source: RNAcentral
UGAGCAACCUGCCCUUCUCAUCGGAAUAAGCGUUGGAAACGACGUCUAAUGCCGAAUACGACUUCGGAAGGCAUCUUCUGAAGUGGAAAGCUCCGGCGGUGAAGGAUGAGCUCGCGGCCUAUCAGCUUGUUGGUGAGGUAAUGGCCCACCAAGGCGACGAUCAGUAGCUGGUCUGAGAGGAUGACCAGCCACACUGGGACUGAGACACGGCCCAGACUCCG